Molecule: ribosomal RNA, 460 nt
Filed under: uncultured bacterium
Lineage: Bacteria
Description: partial 16S ribosomal RNA
Rfam family: Bacterial small subunit ribosomal RNA
Source: RNAcentral
CCUACGGGAGGCUGCAGUGAGGAAUAUUGGUCAAUGGACGAGAGCCUGAACCAGCCAAGUAGCGUGCAGGAUGACUGCCCUAUGGGUUGUAAACUUCUUUUAUAUGGGAAUAAAGUGUUCCACGUGUGGGAUUUUGUAUGUACCAUAUGAAUAAGGACCGGCUAACUCCGUGCCAGCAGCCGCGGUAAUACGGAGGAUCCGAGCGUUAUCCGGAUUUAUUGGGGUUAAAGGGAGCGUAGGUGGAUUGUUAAGUCAGUUGUGAAAGUUUGCGGCUCAACCGUGGAAUUGCAGUUGAAACUGGCAGUCUUGAGUACAGUAGAGGUGGGCGGAAUUCGUGGUGUAGCGGUGAAAUGCUUAGAUAUGACGAAGAACUCCGAUUGCGAAGGCAGCUUACUGGAGUGGAACUGACGCUGAGGCUCGAAAGUGUGGGUAUCGAACAGGAUUAGAUACCCGAGUAGUC